GACGAACGCUGGCGGCGUGCCUAAUACAUGCAAGUAGAACGCUGAAGGAGGAGAUUGCUUCUCUGGAUGAGUUGCGAACGGGUGAGUAACGCGUAGGUAACCUGCCUGGUAGCGGGGGAUAACUAUUGGAAACGAUAGCUAAUACCGCAUAAUAGUAGAUGUUGCAUGACAUUUGCUUAAAAGGUGAAAUUGCAUCACUACCAGAUGGACCUGUGUUGUAUUAGCUAGUUGGUGAGGUAACGGCUCACCAAGGCGACGAUACAUAGCCGACCUGAGAGGGUGAUCGGCCACACUGGGACUGAGACACGGCCCAGACUCCUACGGGAGGCAGCAGUAGGGAAUCUUCGGCAAUGGACGGAAGUCUGACCGAGCAACGCCGCGUGAGUGAAGAAGGUUUUCGGAUCGUAAAGCUCUGUUGUAAGAGAAGAACGAGUGUGAGAGUGGAAAGUUCACACUGUGACGGUAUCUUACCAGAAAGGGACGGCUAACUACGUG
Molecule: ribosomal RNA, 495 nt
Filed under: uncultured bacterium
Lineage: Bacteria
Description: partial 16S ribosomal RNA
Rfam family: Bacterial small subunit ribosomal RNA
Source: RNAcentral